RNAcentral lists this ribosomal RNA (983 nucleotides) under Variovorax sp. RNAcentral describes it as "bacterial SSU rRNA". It matches the Rfam family "Bacterial small subunit ribosomal RNA", at positions 56 to 1009 of the family's 1533-position model. The record is from RNAcentral. Lineage: Bacteria; Pseudomonadati; Pseudomonadota; Betaproteobacteria; Burkholderiales; Comamonadaceae.
UGCAGUCGAACGGCAGCGCGGGAGCAAUCCUGGCGGCGAGUGGCGAACGGGUGAGUAAUACAUCGGAACGUGCCCAAUCGUGGGGGAUAACGCAGCGAAAGCUGUGCUAAUACCGCAUACGAUCUACGGAUGAAAGCAGGGGAUCGCAAGACCUUGCGCGAAUGGAGCGGCCGAUGGCAGAUUAGGUAGUUGGUGAGGUAAAGGCUCACCAAGCCUUCGAUCUGUAGCUGGUCUGAGAGGACGACCAGCCACACUGGGACUGAGACACGGCCCAGACUCCUACGGGAGGCAGCAGUGGGGAAUUUUGGACAAUGGGCGAAAGCCUGAUCCAGCCAUGCCGCGUGCAGGAUGAAGGCCUUCGGGUUGUAAACUGCUUUUGUACGGAACGAAACGGCCUUUUCUAAUAAAGAGGGCUAAUGACGGUACCGUAAGAAUAAGCACCGGCUAACUACGUGCCAGCAGCCGCGGUAAUACGUAGGGUGCAAGCGUUAAUCGGAAUUACUGGGCGUAAAGCGUGCGCAGGCGGUUAUGUAAGACAGUUGUGAAAUCCCCGGGCUCAACCUGGGAACUGCAUCUGUGACUGCAUAGCUAGAGUACGGUAGAGGGGGAUGGAAUUCCGCGUGUAGCAGUGAAAUGCGUAGAUAUGCGGAGGAACACCGAUGGCGAAGGCAAUCCCCUGGACCUGUACUGACGCUCAUGCACGAAAGCGUGGGGAGCAAACAGGAUUAGAUACCCCUGGUAGUCCACGCCCUAAACGAUGUCAACUGGGUUGUUGGGUCUUCACUGACUCAGUAACGAAGCUAACGCCGUGAAGUUGACCGCCCUGGGGGAGUACGGGCCGCAAGGGUUGAAACUCCAAAGGAAUUUGACGGGGGACCCGCACAAAGCGGUGGGAUGGAAGGUGGGUUUAAAUUCCGAUUGCAACGGCGAAAAAACCUUUACCCCACCUUUUGACAUUGUACGGGAAUUCCGCCAGAGAAUGG